AUGUGCAUAACACAGAUUUUGAGUUUCAUAGUCAUGAAAGUCAUAGUGUUAUUUAUGUCCUUUUUUUGGAUAAAAACCAAAUCUUUGUUUUGUAUUUUCUAUAUUACUGCGACGACCCAGAGACCUUUUUCUGUUGUAGAUGCUUCAGUCGCUUCCUGUUUGGGUCCCUCAGCGUUAUUAAUGAGCCUAAUCACGCCCACCUGCGCCGCUUCCGGGCUCGUGUUUAACCAGCCGUCAGUCGCUGCUCGGGUUGCCAGGUUGGACCUUCUGCCGGUUUCAGGUGGCGUCCUGCACGUUUCACUGCUCGGGGGUUUGAUGGCGUCUCUCUGCUCCAGGUUAUCGCCUCUUCCGAGCCAACGGGGACCCGGGCCAGUUCCAGAACGUGCCGAGCCCUUUUCCAGCCUCAUUCCGGUGUGACGUCAUCGCGUAUUCCCCUCCAACACAUUGAUCCACGUCUUGUCUGCAGCCUGGGUGGCACGCGUCACGUUCAACGAGGCUGCGGCGCGGGGUGAACACGUCCCAUCGGGCGCUCGUGCCUUUUGGACGCGCAUCAAAGGACGCGUCUGCUUGUGCGUGCGCAACGUGCCGUCAUCCGCUGCGACCGGCGCGCCAUUCAUCGCGAUGGAACGCCGAGCUGUUAUGGCGUCACGUUCUCAGCUGAAAUCUGUAAUUUGCCAACUUAAACAUUGUGUGUGUGUCCACAAACCUUCAAGCGGAUUUAAACAAGCAUCCAUUAAACAUGUUCUCUGACAGCCCAGACUGCACAAGUACCUCUAUUGUAUCCAUUUAAACCAAAUACCUCAACAAAAAAAAAAUUUAAACACAGUAACUCUGACAAAGACAAUUUAACUCAAGUGAAACUUUUCAGGUGCAUUACUUCAGGAUUUUGGUCUUAAAGCAAGAACAUGAAGCAAAGAGCUUUAACGGUGCUUUUGGGUGAAUUGAAGUCCCCCAUCGUCCCCCUCACGCCUAAAGCUGCUGAAUCUGCACGAUUUUUUUCUCUAGUAGAAAACACUCCAGAUGGUGAGAUCAUCAUCAGAUGACAGCUCCCAACAACCAAAGACCUUUUGAACCUAUCUGAUGUGAUACUGAAAUCCUUCAGGUUUUGUUGAAACCUUUGUAACCAGAUUAGCUGCAAAAUCAUUAGUUCUGAAAAGGGAGACAUGGGCGUCAAGGAAAAUAAAAUGUGGUUCCAAUAAUUUUAGAGCUGAUGC
This 1214-nucleotide long non-coding RNA is filed under the name Betta splendens (Siamese fighting fish). RNAcentral describes it as "lncRNA (ENSBSLG00000024763.1)". The record is from RNAcentral. Lineage: Eukaryota; Metazoa; Chordata; Actinopteri; Anabantiformes; Osphronemidae.